Long non-coding RNA from Rhagoletis pomonella (apple maggot), 256 nucleotides. RefSeq lists it as uncharacterized. Lineage: Eukaryota; Metazoa; Arthropoda; Insecta; Diptera; Tephritidae. The transcript is spliced from 2 exons. The record is from RefSeq and is a predicted model, not a curated record.
UCUUUUUGUAUCAUGAGUGCAGGUUCAAUAAUCGUUAUCGAUUAAUUUAUUCAAAACAGUAGCAAUUGCCCACUCUAGUUUUGUUUUGUGAGUGAGAUUUGUGUGGCGGCAAUAGCAUACAUAUUUAAUCCUGUACAUGUAUAAAUUUGGCAUUUGAAAAAAGGUUUUCUUUCGAAGUCGAGGAAAGUAGAGCGGGUAUUGGUACAGUUUAACGGGUCAACGGAAAAUUUACCUAAAAUGGUGUAUCAAAAGAUGG